UGAGGAAUAUUGGUCAAUGGGCGGGAGCCUGAACCAGCCAAGCCGCGUGGAGGAAGAAGGUACAGAGUAUCGUAAACUCCUUUUGUCAGGGGAUAAAAGGCGCCACGAGUGGCGUUCUGAAGGUACCUGAAGAAAAAGCAUCGGCUAACUCCGUGCCAGCAGCCGCGGUAAUACGGAGGAUGCGAGCGUUAUCCGGAUUUAUUGGGUUUAAAGGGUGCGUAGGCGGUCUUUUAAGUCAGCGGUGAAAGCCCGGGGCUCAACCCCGGCGAGCCGUUGAUACUGGGAGACUGGAGAGGAAGAGAGGCAUGCGGAAUUCGCGGUGUAGCGGUGGAAAUGCUUAGAUAUCGCGAAAGAAACUCCGAUUGCGAAGGCAGCAUGCUGGCUUCUGUCUGACGCUGAGGCACGAAAAGCGUGGGGAUCGAACAGGAUUAGAUACC
This 437-nucleotide ribosomal RNA is filed under the name uncultured bacterium. RNAcentral's name for it is "bacterial SSU rRNA". It matches the Rfam family "Bacterial small subunit ribosomal RNA", at positions 355 to 786 of the family's 1533-position model. The record is from RNAcentral.